CCUACGUACCCUUUAGAAGGGAUCAAGCCACACACGUAGUUCUAAACCUUUAAUUCUCUCUCUCUAAAAACUCCUAAGUUAUGCCACAACUUAGCAUCUUCUUAUAUAGAGAAGAGUUUUCUAAUCUCAAAAGGAAAUCUUACAUAUUUAGAUAACUCCUAAAUAUAACACUUUUCCUAAUGUCUCUUGGUAUAGCUUAUUGCUCAAGCUAUCUUCAAGCUUAUGCCAACACAACAAGUGUCUAGGUUUGGGGUCCAUAUCAUUUGAUGAAACCAAAAGAUUAAGUCAUGGUCAAAAGAAAAACAGAUGAUUAGAGCAAUGAGCAAUCUAAUCGCAUUUACAUACUUAUUGCACAAUGCACAAUGUCUUGACACAAAACGGAGAAGAAAAAACGGAUUAUCAGGAGAUCACUCCACGUAGCAUAUAAUAAUCUCUUUUUUUCUUUUUUUUCUUUGGUUGCAAUGCACGAAAUAACUAAACAUGAUUCCUUCGUCAAAUUAUAAAAAUUAAUAAAACCAGAUUCUUGAAA
Camelina sativa (false flax) is the source of this 529-nucleotide non-coding RNA. Lineage: Eukaryota; Viridiplantae; Streptophyta; Magnoliopsida; Brassicales; Brassicaceae. The record is from RefSeq and is a predicted model, not a curated record.